GUUUGACUCACAUGUGAAAGGAGGAAAGAGAGAAGAGAAAAGGAGAGGAAGAAAGGGAGAUGGAGCUUAAAUAUGGCUUCUAUUGCUGAGAUCCAGCCUCCUCCAAGCCUAAGUCCAAUUAGUUACCGAAAAAAAGCCCAAGUCUAAUUAAUGUCCUCUAUUACCUCAUUUUCUCUUUUGACGUCAUUUUGGCUGACAAAAG
This 202-nucleotide long non-coding RNA is filed under the name Phoenix dactylifera (date palm). RNAcentral's name for it is "long non-coding RNA (PDAC_LNC006469)". The record is from RNAcentral. Lineage: Eukaryota; Viridiplantae; Streptophyta; Magnoliopsida; Arecales; Arecaceae.